Molecule: ribosomal RNA, 464 nt
Filed under: uncultured bacterium
Lineage: Bacteria
Description: bacterial SSU rRNA
Rfam family: Bacterial small subunit ribosomal RNA
Source: RNAcentral
GCCUAACACAUGCAAGUCGAACGAGGUGCCAUCGGGCUUGCUCGAUGGCUACCUAGUGGCGGACGGCUGAGUAACGCGUAGGUGACCUACCCGGAAGUGGGGAAUAACUGCCCGAAAGGGUGGCUAAUACCGCAUACGGUCGACGAUUCGGUUCGUCGUCCAAAGGAGUAAUCCGCUUCCGGCGGGGCCUGCGUCCGAUUAGCUAGUUGGUGGGGUAACGGCUCACCAAGGCGACGAUCGGUAGCUGGUCUGAGAGGAUGAUCAGCCAGACUGGGGCUGAGAACGGCCCAGACUCCUACGGGAGGCAGCAGUCGGGAAUUUUGCCCAAUGGACGAAAGUCUGAGGCAGCAACUCCGCGUGAGGGACGAAGGCUCUCGGGUCGUAAACCUCUUUUCUCAGGGAAGAUCCAAGACGGUACCUGAGGAAUAAGCCACGGCUAACUACGUGCCAGCAGCCGCGGUAAU